RNAcentral lists this ribosomal RNA (434 nucleotides) under uncultured Lachnospiraceae bacterium. RNAcentral describes it as "bacterial SSU rRNA". It matches the Rfam family "Bacterial small subunit ribosomal RNA", at positions 341 to 792 of the family's 1533-position model. Lineage: Bacteria; Bacillati; Bacillota; Clostridia; Lachnospirales; Lachnospiraceae. The record is from RNAcentral.
ACGGAAGGCAGCAGUGGGGAAUAUUGCACAAUGGGCGAAAGCCUGAUGCAGCGACGCCGCGUGAGUGAAGAAGUAUCUCGGUAUGUAAAGCUCUAUCAGCAGGGAAGAAAAUGACGGUACCUGACUAAGAAGCCCCGGCUAACUACGUGCCAGCAGCCGCGGUAAUACGUAGGGGGCAAGCGUUAUCCGGAUUUACUGGGUGUAAAGGGAGCGUAGACGGUUUGGCAAGUCUGAAGUGAAAUGCGGGGGCUAAACUCCUGAACUGCUUUGGAAACUGUCGAACUAGAGUGCAGGAGAGGUAAGUGGAAUUCCUAGUGUAGCGGUGAAAUGCGUAGAUAUUAGGAGGAACACCAGUGGCGAAGGCGGCUUACUGGACUGUAACUGACGUUGAGGCUCGAAAGCGUGGGGAGCAAACAGGAUUAGAUACCCUGGUA